GGGGGAUUAGCUCAGCUGGGAGAGCACCUGCUUUGCAAGUAGGGGGUCGUCGGUUCGAUCCCGUCAUCCUCCA
This 73-nucleotide transfer RNA is filed under the name Candidatus Accumulibacter phosphatis. RNAcentral's name for it is "tRNA-Ala". It matches the Rfam family "tRNA". Rfam says of the family: Transfer RNA (tRNA) molecules are approximately 80 nucleotides in length. Their secondary structure includes four short double-helical elements and three loops (D, anti-codon, and T loops). Further hydrogen bonds mediate the characteristic L-shaped molecular structure. tRNAs have two regions of fundamental functional importance: the anti-codon, which is responsible for specific mRNA codon recognition, and the 3' end, to which the tRNAs corresponding amino acid is attached (by aminoacyl-tRNA synthetases). tRNAs cope with the degeneracy of the genetic code in two manners: having more than one tRNA (with a specific anti-codon) for a particular amino acid; and 'wobble' base-pairing, i.e. permitting non-standard base-pairing at the 3rd anti-codon position. Lineage: Bacteria; Pseudomonadati; Pseudomonadota; Betaproteobacteria. The record is from RNAcentral.